Long non-coding RNA from Cylas formicarius (sweet potato weevil), 3902 nucleotides. RefSeq lists it as uncharacterized. The record is from RefSeq and is a predicted model, not a curated record. The transcript is spliced from 5 exons. NCBI's taxonomy places the organism in Eukaryota, Metazoa, Arthropoda, Insecta, Coleoptera, Brentidae.
CUGUUUGCUUACAAUCCGACCCUGCUUCGUGUACAAAUGCAAUGCCAUUUCGGCAGGGCUAUAGGCUACGAAACCUUUCGAACUCGAAAAGGCGCUACUAAUUUUGAAUAGGUACUUAAUAUUGGGUAAAAGUAAUAGAUAAGAUUGUUUUACAUUAAAUAUUUGACAGAUCGAUGUAACUCGUCAAGCGGAAUCCGAGAAGAAAAAUGACGGAUGUGCUGUUUGCUGAUAGUCCAGAACGGCUUCGUGUACAAAUGCAUGGCGGGGAGACCAGAAAGUUUUCGAAACUGCGUGAGUGGAAGUCUGCGUUGGACAAAUUUUGAAAAUAUCUGAAGGUUUAACGAAUUUUGGAGAAUUCGACAGAGCUACAGACUACGAAACCUUUCGAAACGAACACACGUGUCCUGUUGAACUUGAAAAAAGACGAAAUUAUUUUUAAAAAGAUCAUGGUAACUCGUGAAGCAACAUCUCAGAAUUGAAUCGGGGAACGAGGAAUCAAAAAAAGGUUAACAAUUUGGAUCAUUUUGGAAGAUACAUACGCCGCGCUUUUCAAAGCGGACAGACGUGCCCUUGUCCAACUGAAACGAACACACGUGUCCUGUUGAACUUGAAAAAAGACGAAAUUAUUUUAAAAAGAUCAUGGUAACUCGUGAAGCAACAUCUCAGAAUUGAAUCGGGGAGUUGUGUAUUUGCUGGCAAUCCGGGCCUGCUUGGAUCAUUUUGGAAGAUACAUACGCCGCGCUUUUCAAAGCGGACAGACGUGCCCUUGUCCAACUGAAACGAACACACGUGUCCUGUUGAACUUGAAAAAAGACGAAAUUAUUUUAAAAAGGUAUAUUGUUGCUAAAUAAUAGAUUUUUUUUUAAUUAAAAUAUUUGACAGAUCAUGGUAACUCGUGAAGCAACAUCUCAGAAUUGAAUCGGGGAGUUGUGUAUUUGCUGGCAAUCCGGGCCUGCUUGGAUCAUUUUGGAAGAUACAUACGCCUGCGCUUUUCAAAGCGGACAGACGUGCCCGUGUCCCACUUGACAAAGGCGGAAUUAUUUUAGGAAAGACCAUGGCAACUAGUAAAGCAGAAUCCGAGAAUUCAAUCGGCGGCUGUAUGUUGACUGACAAGAAUAUAAUUGCUGUUAAUCCGGCCCUGCUUCUUGUACAAAUGCAUAGUGGGGAGACAUGAACAUUUUUCGAAAAUGCGGCCCUAUCCUCUUGGGAUUCUACGUUGGACAAAUUCUGAAAACGACCCAGAAAUAUAAUUGGAGGUUCAAACCCGUGCGAGGUGAGGUUUGAUAUAUGAAACAGACCAGUCAUGGGGACACGAGAUAUGGAAAGUUUCAGCGUAGUCGUCGCCACAUUGCUGCCAACACUGCAUAUAUAAGGAAUCACGAACCAUUCAGGUAAAAUUUUGAAAACACAUAGUUAUGGCAAUAUAGAACCUCUCUUUUUUUAACAGGAAUAUUGAGACUUAGACCAGUAUCUUUUAAGUAGGCAUGUGGGGUAAAGAAGACGCAGAAGCUUCACUCGGGUACCGUCGGUAACGUAGGCGAUUGAUAUAUUUCCACCACUACAUAUGUUGGAUUGGAAUUUCCCAUUUGAUGCUUUGACUGACUAAAUGAGGAAACUUGGAGGUAAGCUCUUACGGAAUUCUAUCGAAAUAUGUUUAGUAACAUAUUGGUGCAUUACUCUGUCUUCCAGUCAGUUUCACAUAAACUUUGCACGUAUUAUAGAAAUCCCACCUACUUUUUUUUGUGUUAAUAUUAUUGAAAGUAGUAGCUGGUAGCUGUAGUCAUAAGCCCAGAGAGUCUCUGUUUUGAACAUAAUACACAAAAUGGGGCGUUCAAAAACAAUAGACUGCAUGCCUUUUAGAGUCGGCGUAAACUAUGGUCAUAUACCCCUGAUCAAAUUCAGAACUAGAAAAUCGUUGUGUCUCUGCAUUAAAAAUAAUAGUAAAAUUUAUUGUAGGCACCUAGUAGAGUAUCGAAAAUUUCCAUUUUUAGUGCCAAAUUGGUUACUCCAGUAAAUUCCAACUGUUCUAAUUUUUUUUUAAUAAUUUAUGAUGUUAGUGAGUUUCAUUGCAAUUAUUUGUUACUUAAAUUUUCUACGUAUUAAACCUUAAUUAACAAUACGUUAUUCGUUAACGCAGGUAGAAUUAAUGACGCUAACUGACCUGAUUUUGUCCAGGGGGGCGUAGUACGGUAGUUUGUACUGUGAUGUUUGGUAGUUUGGCAGUGAGCUCUCAUUUAUGAAACUGGGGAAUGUUUCGUUAUCUUCAAAUCGUAAACACGUAUCAUUAGAAUUAUAUUUUUAAAAUAUUGAUUAGGACAUGUACUAAGUAACUAAAUGUUCUAGCGAAAAUAUUCACACAUAUUGCGGAAAACGUACAAAUUUAAAUUAGAGAAAAUUAACUAUUUUUAGAGGUUGGUUUUUCAAAAAGGUGGGGAUUUAGUUAGAGAACAGAUAGAGACUAAAGGGAAGCUCUAUGAGAAAAGUUAGAAUUAAAAAGUCGAUGUUUUCGUGUCAUAGCGAAAGAUGGGUUAUUAUUAAAAAUAAUACUUGCAUUAAUUGUUGUCACCAUUUGUGAAAAAUAUGGAAAAUAUCCUCUAGGUUCGCAUACCUUUUUUUAAUUUUUUUAAGGUGGCUAACAAAAUACACAGACAGAAAAGUUUAGAUCCUGUUCGUUAAUGUAGCGCAUAGAAAAAAAUUAGAAAAGAGAACGUUUCGUGUAUGGCAUACGUAGUUAGUACGGAAUAUUAAUCUGAAGGCUUCAAGACAGUGAAAGAGUGAUGCGCUUAAGUGUGGUUCAGAGAGGUUAUUUGGGCUGUAGAAGUUUUUCUUUGAACAGGGUUCAAAUAGCGUCUCCUAGAGCGUUAGCAGAGAAGAGUAUUACAGUAAUUAGUAUAAGCGUCCAGAUUUCAUUGUUGUUGAGAUUGGCAUAGAAACACACUUUUAUGUAGUAGUAGCAGCAGCUUUAAAGUAUAUGAGUUUUUAGUUAAGAUGCCUUUCGAGUUUGCUUUAUGGCUUGAUAGGAAAUUAAAGGGUAGAUACAGAUAAGUUACGAAAAAAAGUAUGUACACUAUUCUCAAAGAUCAGCAAUAAAUAAAAGAAAUUGAUGAAAUAGUAAAGUUGACUGCGAUAUCUGAAAAUCAUCAAUAAGAUAGAUAAAUUAAUUUUGAAAAUAUUAAAUAAUAAAAACAAAUAAUAAAAUAGCAAAGAAAAUCAAAAUCAUCAAUAAGAUAGAUAAAUUAAUUUUGUAAAUAUUAAAUAAUAAAAAUAAAAUUAUAAUAGCAAAGAAAGCCUACCACGGCCACAUACACAUAAUAUUUUCGACAUAUGAACUUUUCCCAGAUAAAUAGUCAAAUAUUUCACGAUACCUUAAAACAGAAGCAUGCGGAAAUAUGUAUGAAGUUAACGCACGGUAGAUGGCUUAUUAAUUAAAAAGGUAUAUGGUUUCUAAUAUCCUACUUUAUUAAUGAAAAUUUUAACCAGGUUUUUGUUUUGCAGAUAUUAUUGCUGGUGCCUGCCAGCUUCCAGUUCCGAGAAAAGAAAUCCAACACUUUUCGUCUUUAUUUCCCCUGUCCUUUGUGCGCAAUAAAAGUACAGUUUGUACCCGCGAGGGUACACAUUCGCAGAAGUAUAUGUUUUUAAAAUAAAUGUUUUGGUCAAUAUUCACUAGGUGGGGUUACCUUAUUAAAGAAAAUCUUAUUCCAAGAGGGGACACUAGUUUACAUUCGAACCGCUAGAGGGUGCAGAUGGUCACGCGAACAAUAUGAUCAAGUCUCAUUGACGGCAUUGCUUUUCUUAAGGGUGGGAAAAUAUCUGGGCUCUGAUUGGCUUCGCCGCCAUCGCAAACUAGAGGUGGGGAGAUUGAUUAAACCCCAUUGGUGCUUGCUUAUCCAAUGGGAGCCAGU